UGGUGAAUAGUUCAAAAUGUCUUAUUCCAUAAUUUAAUAUCUAAUACAGUAUGUGGAAGAAGACAUUCAAAACUGUUCACCACCAACUGUCCUGUUUCGUGGGACUCCCUGUAGUUUGAACUUGAUUUUUUGAAUCCCAAAUAAAACUUAAUUUUAAAAGAAGGGGAAAAUUAGGUUGCCUAGCACUUGUUAAGUUAAAAAAGGGUAGAAAUAUGAAAUGAGCCAAUUUUAUUCGUUUUUGAAGUUUGAAACACUUUACCCCCCUACUCCCCCCCGCAAACACACCCGUAGACACUAUUUUCCGGGAUUAUAAAUUUAUUCUUAGUGCGUAAAUAGAUAGUUAAACGGAGUUUGACUUAAUUUACGCAAUUGGCUAUCCAGUAACCGUCUAUUCGAGUCGACAUGCGUCGCACAUCAAAAUUGUCAUUAAUAUAUCAGUCUUGAAAGAGUCUUAUUAGUGCUACAUCAAACUUUUAUUGGCAAGAUAAAAAAAUGUCGGAAACUAUGGGAGAGUGCGCCAAAUGUAAAGUAAGGGUGAAUAAGGAGCACUGUGUUGAGUGUGCCCUUUGUAAAUUGGUCUUUGAUGCUGAUUGUGCGGGGUUGUCGGAGGUAGAGUUCAGAGUACUAGGAGAAGCUCGGAGCAGGGAUGGAGAAAUCCUAGGCACAGGUGGAACUAAUGGAGGCAGUACUGAAAUAUUUGAAAAGCUCAGCAGACCUAUUGAAGAAGUAUUUGGAGGACACAUCGUAGGCAUUAAAGAGGAACGAAUCGAGGGCGUUAAAGAAGAACGAAUUGGAGAAAUAAAAGAGGAAAGAAUCGGAGGACUUAAAGACCAACAAAUCGGAGGAGUUAAGGAUCAUAUUGGAGGAGUAUUCUGGUGCUGUGAAAGCUGUCGUGUCCUAAUGAAGAAGAUGAAACCUGUUGACAAUGACAAUAAAGUUGAUAACAAAAUGGAGGUCAAAGAACUGAAGAAUAAGAAAAGGGAGGAUGAGGACUCAAAGGAGUUAAGAAUGGAGAGUGAAAACCCGCUGCUUACCCUCAUUAAAGAGCUUAAGGUUUCUCAAACAGUGCGUCAACCUGUUAGAUCAACAUACAGGCAUGAUAUCAGAGAAAUAAAGCAUGGUGAACGGUUUCGCUUCACCUCUGAAAGUGUUGGUGAGGGGCAUCCUGACAAGAUGUGUGACCAGAUCAGUGAUGCGAUUCUUGAUGCACAUCUACGUGAGGAUAGUGAUGCGAAGGUUGCUGUAGAAACGGUCACAACAACCGGCCUUAUCAUGUUAAUCGGUCAGGUCACCAGCAAGGCAAAUAUUGACUACCAGAAGGUUGUUAGGGAUACAGUGAAAGAGAUUGGUUAUGAUGACUCAAGUAAAGGGUUUGAUUAUAAGACUCUAAGCCUCCUCGUGGCUCUCGAACAUCAAAGCCCAGAUAUCGCUCAGGGUGUUCAUCACAACGGUGUACUCAAGGAGGAUAUUGGUGCUGGAGAUCAAGGGUUUAUGUUCGGAUAUGCUACAGAUGAAACUGAUGAGUGUAUGCCCCUGACUGUUAUGCUGGCCCAUCAACUGAACAAGAAAAUAGCUGAUCUAAGAAAAGAUGGAUCAUUAUGGUGGGCUAGACCUGAUAGUAAAGCACAGGUGACAUGUGAAUAUUUCUUUGAUAAUGGAGCCUGUAUUCCAAUACGUGUACAUACUGUUGUAGUUUCUGUACAGCAUUCAGAAAAGGUGAGUCUUGAGUACCUGAGAUGUGAUGUCCUGGAGAAGGUUGUGAAGAGAGUAAUUCCCCUGAAAUAUCUGGAUAAAAAUACUGUGGUUCAUAUCAAUCCCUGUGGGAGUUUUGUUAUCGGAGGUCCCAUGGGAGACGCAGGACUUACAGGCAGAAAGAUUAUUGUGGAUACUUACGGCGGGUGGGGUUCCCAUGGUGGUGGCGCAUUUUCUGGAAAGGAUUAUUCCAAAGUAGACCGUUCAGCGGCAUACGCCCUGCGCAUGAUUGCAAAAUCACUGGUCAAGUCAGGUCUCUGCCGCCGCUGUUUAGUCCAGGUCUCUUAUGCUAUUGGACUAUCUGAUCCAUUGGGUAUAGCUGUGUUUGAUUAUGGAACUGGGUCAUUAUCCUCACAGAAGUUGACCGAAAUAGUGAAGAAAAACUUUGAUUUGCGGCCUGGACGAAUAGUUCAAGAUCUGCAGCUACAACAACCAAUAUUUCAACAAACAGCAGCUUAUGGACACUUUGGAAGGAGCUGUUUUCCUUGGGAGCAGCAUAAGCAGCUCCGCUACUGAUCUACACAGAGCUCUUCGGCAAAUCUUCUCUAGAUAGAUUUGAAAUUGACCUAUAUUUCCCUAAGAUUUGUAGAUUUUACAUCCAUAUUAGCCGAUUUUUCACAAACUCUGAUUUUCUAAUCCCUAUAUUCUUUGUGGCUAAGACUAAAUUCCUUUGGUAGAUUUUCCAUCCAUAUUGGCAGAUUUUUUCCAUAAUUUGGUAAUUUUCCAUAAAUAUUGGCAGAUUUU
RNAcentral lists this unclassified non-coding RNA (2496 nucleotides) under Eurytemora carolleeae. RNAcentral describes it as "s-adenosylmethionine synthase". The record is from RNAcentral. Lineage: Eukaryota; Metazoa; Arthropoda; Copepoda; Calanoida; Temoridae.